This 513-nucleotide ribosomal RNA is filed under the name uncultured bacterium. RNAcentral describes it as "partial 16S ribosomal RNA". It matches the Rfam family "Bacterial small subunit ribosomal RNA", at positions 28 to 523 of the family's 1533-position model. The record is from RNAcentral.
GACGAACGCUGGCGGCGUGCCUAAUACAUGCAAGUAGAACGCUGAAGAGAGGGGCUUGCUCUUCUUGGAUGAGUUACGAACGGGUGAGUAACGCGUAGGUAACCUGCCUUGUAGCGGGGGAUAACUAUUGGAAACGAUAGCUAAUACCGCAUAACAAUGGAUGACUCAUGUCAUUUAUUUGAAAGGGGCAAAUGCUCCACUACAAGAUGGACCUGCGUUGUAUUAGCUAGUAGGUGAGGUAACGGCUCACCUAGGCGACGAUACAUAGCCGACCUGAGAGGGUGAUCGGCCACACUGGGACUGAGACACGGCCCAGACUCCUACGGGAGGGAGCAGUAGGGAAUCUUCGGCAAUGGGGGCAACCCUGACCGAGCAACGCCGCGUGAGUGAAGAAGGUUUUCGGAUCGUAAAGCUCUGUUGUAAGUCAAGAACGAGUGUGAGAGUGGAAAGUUCACACUGUGACGGUAGCUUACCAGAAAGGGACGGCUAACUACGUGCCAGCCGCCGCAGUAA